This 251-nucleotide small RNA is filed under the name Pongo abelii (Sumatran orangutan). The record is from RNAcentral. Lineage: Eukaryota; Metazoa; Chordata; Mammalia; Primates; Hominidae.
GCCGGGUGUGGUGGCACAUGCCUGUAAUCCCAGCUACUCAGGAGGCUGAGGCAGGAGAAUCGUUUGAACCCGGGAGGUGGAGGUUGCAGUGAAGUGAGAUCACACCACUGCACUCCAGCCUGGGCAUGUUGGUACAUGCCUGUAAUCCCAGCUACUCGGGAGGCUGAGGCAGAAGAAUCACUUGAACCCGGGAGGCGGAGGUUGCAGUGAGCCAAGAUCGCGUCACUGCACUCCAGCCUGAGCGACAGAGC